AUGCAGUCGAACGGCAGCACGGAGCUUGCUCUGGUGGCGAGUGGCGAACGGGUGAGUAAUAUAUCGGAACGUACCCUAGAGUGGGGGAUAACGUAGCGAAAGUUACGCUAAUACCGCAUACGAUCUAAGGAUGAAAGUGGGGGAUCGCAAGACCUCAUGCUCGUGGAGCGGCCGAUAUCUGAUUAGCUAGUUGGUAGGGUAAAAGCCUACCAAGGCAUCGAUCAGUAGCUGGUCUGAGAGGACGACCAGCCACACUGGAACUGAGACACGGUCCAGACUCCUACGGGAGGCAGCAGUGGGGAAUUUUGGACAAUGGGCGAAAGCCUGAUCCAGCAAUGCCGCGUGAGUGAAGAAGGCCUUCGGGUUGUAAAGCUCUUUUGUCAGGGAAGAAACGGUGAGAGCUAAUAUCUCUUGCUAAUGACGGUACCUGAAGAAUAAGCACCGGCUAACUACGUGCCAGCAGCCGCGGUAAUACGUAGGGUGCAAGCGUUAAUCGGAAUUACUGGGCGUAAAGCGUGCGCAGGCGGUUUUGUAAGUCUGAUGUGAAAUCCCCGGGCUCAACCUGGGAAUUGCAUUGGAGACUGCAAGGCUAGAAUCUGGCAGAGGGGGGUAGAAUUCCACGUGUAGCAGUGAAAUGCGUAGAUAUGUGGAGGAACACCGAUGGCGAAGGCAGCCCCCUGGGUCAAGAUUGACGCUCAUGCACGAAAGCGUGGGGAGCAAACAGGAUUAGAUACCCUGGUAGUCCACGCCCUAAACGAUGUCUACUAGUUGUCGGGUCUUAAUUGACUUGGUAACGCAGC
This 800-nucleotide ribosomal RNA is filed under the name Janthinobacterium lividum. Its description in RNAcentral is "bacterial SSU rRNA". It matches the Rfam family "Bacterial small subunit ribosomal RNA", at positions 55 to 852 of the family's 1533-position model. The record is from RNAcentral. Lineage: Bacteria; Pseudomonadati; Pseudomonadota; Betaproteobacteria; Burkholderiales; Oxalobacteraceae.